RNAcentral lists this ribosomal RNA (222 nucleotides) under Triticum aestivum (bread wheat). RNAcentral describes it as "partial small subunit ribosomal RNA". Lineage: Eukaryota; Viridiplantae; Streptophyta; Magnoliopsida; Poales; Poaceae. The record is from RNAcentral.
GGCGGAGGGAGGAGGCGAGGAAGAGGAGGGUCCCCUCCGACUCCUCCAGGUUCUUGCCGGCGAGCAGCGCCGACCACCACGCGCGCCUGCGGUUCCUUUAGCGGAAGCUGGUCUUCAGGGCGCGGCGUGAGGUCCGGCCGCAGCUCUUCCAGCGGUUGCGGCAGCCGCAGUGGGAGCCGGGCGCUCCCUCCUUGCAUCACGACCUACUCAUACCGUUGGGGC